UGGUUUACAUGAGCAGCAGGAGCAUAAUCGCCUUUUCAUUCCAGCCCUCUUUAAAGAGAAGAACAAUCUUUUGUUUUCUGUUGCCGAACCAUAGUUUUGUUCCCCCACUCCUCUGUUAAAAUUUCAUACUCAAAACAAUCUCUAGAAAUUAAAGGAAUAUUUUAGGCACUCAAAUUCAAAUUGGAGUUCAACCCACUCUCUGUUUCUGGAUAAAUUUGUCUUCUUCAAAGAGUACGAAGAGAAGUUACAAUAGUAAGCCGGCAGAGCUUACAGAAUCCUUUUAGCGCUAUGAGAGUUAGUAUUUUGUUACGUUUUGAUGUGUAUAUCACAGGGGUAUCUAGGUAGUUUAGUUUACUUUCCUUGAUCCCAUGUCAUUCUUGUACAUUUUGCUGUUAUUAUUGGGAUCUUAUACAUGAUCUUUAUAUGGCCUGUAACCAAAAACUUGCAGUUUUCUAUGGGUCUGGUCUGGGGUGUUGCAACUGUGCUUUUGAAUCCCUUUGUUGUCAAAUAUCUAUGUACUACAGGCAUAUUCAUUUAUGUGUCAUUAAGUGCUUGUUUUUAUUUUUUCGAAACUCUUGUACUUGAUUAAAUUUUGCAGCGUAUAGUUUAGUCUACAGUAUUCUAUAUACCAUAUGUCUCUAUCUUAACAUGAAUUUACUACAUUAUCAAGGGUGUUAACCUAAGUUUUUUUAAUUUUCAGUAGCUAGAAGUCAUUUCUUUUUGCUGUAUAAGACUUAUGAUACAUAGGAUAUACAUAUACUUUUCCAAUAUUUUAAAAUCUUUGUUUCUUCUUUUUGGGAUUGUUGAUUUAACUGCCUCUUAAUAACUGUGCUCUCAACUGUUAGAUUUUGAUGAGUACCCUGAACCACUUUCCCCUUGUUGCUAGAUUUCCGAAGUAGAGGUAUAUUUCAUUUUUAUUUUAUUUUUCCGAGUGACGUGAUGGGAGAUUUGUGCUUGCCAGUCUAGUCGGAUUCCGAUACGGCGGAAACAAAAAUUUUCUGUCGGUUACAGUUGGUAUCAGAGCGAAGGUUCCGACUUAUCGGGACUGUGUUUGGUUUUCUUACUUGCUGAAAUGGUCGAUAAUUAGAUAACUAUUUAUUUUCGUACACUUUGGUUGUUUAAAAACUACAUUUUUAUGUUGAUGCUCCAUAUUUGAAUCUGUUUUAGUUUACGAAGAACAUUUUCUUUCCUCCAUGUUAACCUAUCACGUUUUGUUAUACAACUUUGAAAUUAUUUAAAUAGCGUGAUGAUUUGGUUUUAACUUUUUCUUGAAAUUUUAUCAUGACUUCAAUAGUACUGCCGUUUUGAAAGAGUCAUAUUGGUUUUGGGGAUUGGGGAAUACUAACCAGAUGCUGUGAUAUACAUAUCAUUUUCGUGUGUUAGUAAUGUAUAUUACUAACCAAUUGUAAAUCUGACGCGUUAUCUGUUUUGAAGAUGUCACGAAGUGCGAAAUUUGCAGGCCCGCUCUUACUACGCAAAAGAAAAAAGGAUUUCAUUAAGGGAAUAAAAUGCAUUGGAAAAGAUUUGGAAUAACCGGUAAGUUUGGUGAUGACCAUCUCUAAUGCCGUUAAGAACCAUAGACAACCUAGUACAACUGUAGUCCUCAAGGAUUUAAAGGUGCUUGUAGGAAUGAUUGAACGUUUAGUAGUAUGAAGGAACUUCUCGAGGAACUAAUGGAACACACGACAUAAAAACGUAAUGUGUUUUUCUUUUACUCUUUAUUUAUCAUUUAUGAUAUCUGGCGUAUCGGAUGAAAUUAAUACAUUCUGCGUGUGUGAGCUUACUCCUUAAACUUGCCUCUUUAGUAGGGGUGCGUUUCUGAUAUGUGGUUUGUUUUUCAAAGUUUACUUGUUGAAUUUCUUGUUAACAAAUGUUUAAUAAAAUUUCUGUCAUACUCUGUGUUUCCGACAAAUUAAAGAAUGGGCACUCGUAGAUUUCGUUUGGUACUGUUUUAGUUGAGUUUGUAGUCGGAUUUUUAUCCAAAUUGAAAUUAUGAAAAAUCUCUAAGAAUUUACUUGUUUUUGUCCAGUUGCCAAGAGUGAACCUCAAUAAUUGAAUUUUUCUUUUCAUAUCCAUACUAAUAAUUUGAAUGAUCUGGUAUGAAUUCAUUUCUUCGAUUCAGUGAAAAUCUUUUUAGUUCUUCAAAGCUUAAGGUCUUAACUCUCUUUAUGAUGUCUUCUGAUGUUGGUACUAGUUUUGUCCAUGCCUCUAUUUUCUCAUUUUUCUCUGCUGCUACCAUUACAUAUUUUGGUUUUUAUUGAUUUUAUACCAGUCAAAAUGUGUAGAAAUAUUUUUUUGGGUUUGAUCUGACGAUGAUUUCUUAGUUCGACUCUUUGAUUCAUGAUUUGUCUACUUGAGCACAAGUUUUGCUAAACUUCAUUGGUUCCCUGUCCUAAUAGCUGGCAGAGGUUAAAAGGGAAGCUGAAAGUGCCGUAAUCAUGGGUAAUUUUCUAAUUUAUCGUUCUCGCGCAAAAAUGUCGUUUCGAACCGAAGCUAGUUGAAGGUAAUCUUCAUAGAUCUUCAAUUUAGUUUGAAUUGGGGGACACAAUUCUUUUUAGAGUGUAAUGGUGUAGCGACAUGAAUAUUUUCCUUGGGCUUUGAACCCUAGACCAACCCAUAUGAAUGAUUGUUUAGCUAGGUAGUCAUCCCUUAGCAGCAAUUGGUGAGCAUGAGUAGUUGAUGCUAGGAAGACACUAGAAAUUUUGAGCAUGUAAGGCACGUGGUUGACAUGAGCAGCAGGGGCAUAAUCGCCUUUUCAUUCCAACCCUCUUUAAAGAGAAGAACAAUCUUUUGUUUUCUGUUGCCGAACCAUAGUUUUGUUCCCUCACUCCUUUGUUAAAAUUUCAUACUCAAAACAAUCUCUAGAAAUUAAAGGAAUAUUUUAGGCUCUCAAAUACAAAUUGGAGUUCAACCCACUGACUUUUUCUGGCUAAAUUUAUCUUCUUCAAAGGUAGGGGGUUUAUCUCAAUUCUUCAUUUUAUGCUUUCUUCACUUUUAAAAUUAUCAUUCCAGUUGUUCCUCUUAAUUUUAUGCUUCAUAUCAUGUGAAUCGAUAUUUGAGGAGGGGGUUUCAUUUUCACUGUUAAAAUUGGGUUUCGAUGCGAUUUCAUUUGGGUUACACAAAUAUUGAUUUGUUUUAUAAACUUCCUUCAAAUAUGAAGACUAAACCCUGCUUGGCAUCUAUGUUCAUUUGGGUUUCGAUGUUAAAAUUAGGAUUUGUGAUUCUGAUUUUUUUAAACUGAUUUUAUGAAGACUAAACCCUGCUUGGCAUCUAUGUUCAUUUUAUAUCCCAAACCAGGAGUUUGAAUUGAGUUUCUAAACUUGCUAUUAGCUGUUUGUGAAAAUGACUAAAUGAAUACUGUUUCAUUUUAGUAUCAUGCAUGACACCAAGUUUUGAUCUACAUAUACACAGCAGUAACCAUGAUUUGUAUCUAUUUUUCUUUCUUCCUAAACCACCGUUUUCGGUUUAAUAUAUUACCCUAUAGAAUUGUUUGAACGUGAUACCAUUUUGGUUAUGCCUUCUCAAGUUUUACUUUUGAUAUCUCUCUUGACUAAUACAUUUCCUUCUUAUACUUUCCCCUUUUAACUCAUUUGUUUCUUCAAACAUCAAAUGUCAAAAGAAAAUGACAGCAUUGUGUCAUGCAUGUGAACUAUUUGCUUCCGAUUUAUGGUUUACUAACUAAUCCCCUUUCUUCCCAAUUUAUAUCUAAUGUUACUGUCCACUCAUGCAAAUACUAUUUACUUACGUUCUAAUCUCUUCCUCUCUUGAUUUAAUAUGUUAAAUUAUUGAACUUAAUGUUUUUUAUGUGAAGGAAAUGAAAAUGUACCAAUUGCCUUAUUUUACUGUUGCUUAGAUGCUUGAUUUGCUAUCAGCUACGAUGCUGUUGUUUUUGUCACAGCUCCAUUAACUGUAUCACUUAUGUUUUCUCUCUCUUUUCGGAUGAAUUAUGUGCAUGAUUUACUCUGUAUUAUGGAUUUGGUUUGGCUUAAAUUCCCAUGGUGUAUGGACUAUACUUAAAGUUUGGUAUUUUACUUGGCGCGGGCUUUUGGUAAGUUGUGCCUUCGUUGCUCUUGACUUUUGAGGAUUGGUUCCAGUUUCAGAAAUUCCCUUGAGAUUUGCUGCCAGUAAAAACUUAUUUGCGAAUGCUGCCAACGCUUAUACUUGUGUAAGCUUUUGAUUAUGGAUUUAUGAGGUUCUUAAGAACUUGGUUUGAUGUUUCCCUGUGACAAUUGGAUUUGGAAACUAGUGGACUCUACUUUAGGAACGUCAGGCCUAAGUGGAACUUCACCACCUUGGUGGAAACCCGGAAGAUCGUUGCGACAACGAUGGAUGGUAACCAGAACUAUCUUGAUGGUGGCACUGGCCAUGAGAAUAGUAGAGUGACUUUAUUUGCGGCUCCGAAUGUUUUUAUGAUUUAUAUUUGCUAAGAUUUACAUUUCUGCAUUUUUAUUUAGCUGUUGCUCAUGUCUAUUUAUCCCCGUUUAUCGUUGGCAUUGUAUUUCGUUUUUACACCCUCUAUUGGGCAUGCGCUCACCCCGUUUGUUUUGUUCCCCCCUCCCCCCCACACACACAGAGUACGAAGAGAAGUUACAGCAGUAAGCCGGGCAGAGCUUACAGAAUCCUUUUAGCGCUAUGAAAGUUAGUAUUUUGUUACGUUUUGAUGUGUAUAUCACAGGGAAUCUGGGUAGUUUAGUUUACUUUCCUUGAUCCAUGUCAUUCUUGUACAUUUUGCUGUUAUUAUUGGGAUCUUGUACAUGAUCUUAUAUGGCAUGUAACUGAAAACUUGCAGUUUC
This is a long non-coding RNA of Papaver somniferum (opium poppy), 4793 nucleotides long. RefSeq lists it as uncharacterized. The transcript has 2 exons. Lineage: Eukaryota; Viridiplantae; Streptophyta; Magnoliopsida; Ranunculales; Papaveraceae. The record is from RefSeq and is a predicted model, not a curated record.